CGCACAAGCGGUGGAGCAUGUGGUUUAAUUCGAAGAUACGCGAAGAACCUUACCUGGGCUUGAUAUCCUAAGAACCUUUUAGAGAUAAGAGGGUGCUAGCUUGCUAGAACUUAGAGACAGGUGCUGCACGGCUGUCGUCAGCUCGUGUCGUGAGAUGUUGGGUUAAGUCCCGCAACGAGCGCAACCCACGUAUUUAGUUGCUAACGGUUCGGCCGAGCACUCUAAAUAGACUGCCUUCGUAAGGAGGAGGAAGGUGUGGACGACGUCAAGUCAUCAUGGCCCUUAUGCCCAGGGCGACACACGUGCUACAAUGGCAUAUACAAUGAGACGCAAUACCGCGAGGUGGAGCAAAUCUAUAAAAUAUGUCCCAGUUCGGAUUGUUCUCUGCAACUCGAGAGCAUGAAGCCGGAAUCGCUAGUAAUCGUAGAUCAGCCAUGCUACGGUGAAUACGUUCCCGGGUCUUGUACUCACCGCCCGUCACACCAUGGGAGUUGAUUUCACUCGAAGCCGGAAUACUAAACUAGUUACCGUCCACAGUGGAAUCAGCGACUGGGGUGAAGUCGUAACAAGGUAACCGUAGGAGAACCUGCGGUUGGAUCACCUCCUUU
Molecule: ribosomal RNA, 608 nt
Filed under: Campylobacter jejuni
Lineage: Bacteria; Pseudomonadati; Campylobacterota; Epsilonproteobacteria; Campylobacterales; Campylobacteraceae
Description: bacterial SSU rRNA
Rfam family: Bacterial small subunit ribosomal RNA
Source: RNAcentral